GCCAGCAUAGCUCAGCGGCAGAGCAGCGCUUUUGUAAAGCGAAGGUCGGGGGUUCAAAUCCCUCUGCUGGCU
RNAcentral lists this transfer RNA (72 nucleotides) under bacterium. Its description in RNAcentral is "tRNA-Thr". It matches the Rfam family "tRNA". Rfam says of the family: Transfer RNA (tRNA) molecules are approximately 80 nucleotides in length. The record is from RNAcentral. RNAcentral also lists the same sequence under 2 other names.